Molecule: ribosomal RNA, 92 nt
Filed under: Serratia marcescens
Lineage: Bacteria; Pseudomonadati; Pseudomonadota; Gammaproteobacteria; Enterobacterales; Yersiniaceae
Source: RNAcentral
CCACCUGACCCCAUGCCGAACUCAGAAGUGAAACGCCGUAGCGCCGAUGGUAGUGUGGGGUGUCCCCAUGCGAGAGUAGGACACUGCCAGGC